RNAcentral lists this long non-coding RNA (385 nucleotides) under Brassica rapa (field mustard). Its description in RNAcentral is "long non-coding RNA (BRAP_LNC002867)". The record is from RNAcentral. Lineage: Eukaryota; Viridiplantae; Streptophyta; Magnoliopsida; Brassicales; Brassicaceae.
UGGCAUAUGAUUGUAAAUAAAUUAAAAAAACAAAAGAGUAAUUUAUUUUUCUACUUCUGUUUUAAUAGAUUAGACUAGAUUUUGAUCCGCGCCUAAAAAGCGCGGGUUUGUUUGUUUUUUAUUUAUUUAUCGAAAACUGAUUGACAAACUACUAUUAUUUUUAUUUUUCUUUCGCUCCAUAACAAUUGCGUUUUUAGUUUUUUAUCAUUUUUUUUUCUCUUCAAAAUAAGGUAUUUGUUCGAAAUAUGGUAGUUGUUCUAUAAUAAUGUUUGAGUUUUAAGAUUUGUUUUUAUAUCCGACUUAGAUUCAUGGUUGAACCUAUAGACCCGAUACAUUGUAUAUACUACGGUUAAGAUUUAAUGAAAAAAUCGUUAAUUAAAAAUCC